This 497-nucleotide ribosomal RNA is filed under the name uncultured bacterium. RNAcentral describes it as "partial 16S ribosomal RNA". It matches the Rfam family "Bacterial small subunit ribosomal RNA", at positions 28 to 507 of the family's 1533-position model. The record is from RNAcentral.
GAUGAACGCUGGCGGCGUGCCUAAUACAUGCAAGUCGAGCGAACGGACGAGAAGCUUGCUUCUCUGAUGUUAGCGGCGGACGGGUGAGUAACACGUGGAUAACCUACCUAUAAGACUGGGAUAACUUCGGGAAACCGGAGCUAAUACCGGAUAAUAUUUUGAACCGCAUGGUUCAAAAGUGAAAGACGGUCUUGCUGUCACUUAUAGAUGGAUCCGCGCUGCAUUAGCUAGUUGGUAAGGUAACGGCUUACCAAGGCAACGAUGCAUAGCCGACCUGAGAGGGUGAUCGGCCACACUGGAACUGAGACACGGUCCAGACUCCUACGGGAGGCAGCAGUAGGGAAUCUUCCGCAGUGGGCGAAAGCCUGACGGAGCAACGCCGCGUGAGUGAUGAAGGUCUUCGGAUCGUAAAACUCUGUUAUUAGGGAAGAACAUAUGUGUAAGUAACUGUGCACAUCUUGACGGUACCUAAUCAGAAAGCCAUGGCUAACUACGUG